Chenopodium quinoa (quinoa) is the source of this 2241-nucleotide long non-coding RNA. RefSeq lists it as uncharacterized. The record is from RefSeq and is a predicted model, not a curated record. Lineage: Eukaryota; Viridiplantae; Streptophyta; Magnoliopsida; Caryophyllales; Amaranthaceae. The transcript is spliced from 4 exons.
GAAUGACCUUUCUCAUGUUCUUUUCGCAGCUCAUUUGUUUCUCUCUCCUCUCUUUCACUUUCACUUUCUCUCUCUACUCUCAAAUCUCUCCUUUUUUGCACUCUCAAAUCAAGAUUUUGUUCUUCACUGAUCAACUAUUUUCCUAUGAUUAUUUGAUUUUCGUCAUUGUUUGAGGGAAUACAUUUUGAUUAUUAGAUUGCUGAAGAAUCAUGUCGAAUGAUGAUAUAAAGGAGAAGGAGUUGGAUCUUAGCUAUCCUAAAGUGCUGCUGUCAUCGUAUAAAUGAAUUUCAAGAGUUGAAUCAGCCCAAAAAAUGAUCGGGUUGAGUGCUGCAGCUGCUGCCACGUCAAGGCUGCAACUACUGAUGCUUCCCUGUAGGCCCUGCCAAGGCUGCAGCUGCUGCCUUGGAGGCCCUGCCAAGCCUGCAAGUACUUAUCUAGCUUGCUGUUUUAAUCCUAUGGAAGAGAGUGAAACACAUGUUGUCUUGCGACUUCAACACACAGGUUGUUGCUCAGCAAGGCCCUAUUCAGAUGAGAAGGUCAACAUUGGCUCAAAUCUUUCAAUUAUGAAAUUCCUGCACAUCUUCUGAGUUUUAUUAUUUAGUUUUAUGAAAUUCAAGGAGGAAUUUUAUUAUUUAGUUUAAUUUAAUUUUGAGUUAGUCUUAUUAACUUUUGAGUUAGUGGUAGUUACUUUUGAGUUGAUGUUAGUGACUGAGUUUGGUAUAUAAUUAUGUGCAUGGAAUAUUUAGUAGCAUACUACACUUUUCACUAUGGAGCAGGUGACUUCCAACCUACAAAGGCAACAAACCUUUGCCUAGCGUAUGUUGCCUCUUACACUGAUAGCGAUACACACACACACGACAACCCAAAAUUCAAUGUGUUGCUUGCACUGCUAUUUUAAUCUUGAAACUGAUUUGAGUAGAUAACUUUGUUCUUCUUGGCUAACACCAUCUAAAUGCUAACCUAGUGCUUACACUAUUGUCAUGUCACAACGGAUUGCACUUGUCAGAUAUGUGGGGCUUCGUGUGAAUCUUUCAUUCAUGCCUUGUUCCAAUGUCGGGAUGCAAAAUUGAUUUGGGACUUGGGAGCAUAGUAGUUAUGUGGAGUUGUUGAAUGAUGCGCCUACAAGCUCCUUUGCUGAGUGUCUGUAGUGGCUUGCACAUAAGGUGGAGAAAAAAGAACUAAGUUUGAUGUGUGUUCUGACUUGGGUUGCUUGGUUUUGCAGGGAUGAGAGUAUUUACCAGGACCCUGUGACUAGUCAUGUAUGUCUAGCAUUUAAUUAUACCAAGUUAUUGCAUUAUUAUGGUUGGAAUUGGAGUGCACCAGCAAGGCUGAAAAAUGCAGAAGCAAGAACAGCAAGGUUAGGGCUCCUUGUAGCUCGUAGAUUUGGUGUGCAUCGAAUAGCCGAAUAUAGUUGGAAGAAGAUGCGAUUUCUAUAAUUAAGCAUUUCUUAUUUACUUUUGAGUAUAUUUUAUUUACAUUUGUGAUUUUUAGUAUAAAAAAUAAAAUAAAAACCAUCAAUUGUGUUAACUAAUUAUUCUUAUUCUAUAAUAGCCUAGUAGCUCAAUGAGAAGAGCAUUGUCAGUCACUACAUGAUAUAUUUUGCUAUAAGGAGCAGUAGUUUAUGUAUUGUGUUUGAUUGAUGAUAUGUCCAAUUUAUAUAGUGUUUUACCCCCGUCCCUUGGACAUAAUUAGUAGUGUUUUUGUCUCUUUAGAGCCACUUUUAUUACUAAUUUGUGUUUUCUAGUGUUUUUGUAGUUUUGCUUGAGUUUUGUAGGAAAUUGCACAGUUGGAGCGUUUUCCGGUUUUUCAUGAAGCAACUACGAGCAUUAGGAGGACAUGACCGUCUUUGAAGCCCAGGACUGGUUAAGAGCCGGUGUUUAAGGGCUCGGUAUGUGAUACUAGGGCAUAUGGAUCGAGUAUUCAAGACCGGAAGAGGAAAUCUGGAUUGGGCCGAAGAAUUGAGCCCAAUCGAAGUCCAAGCCUCGAAGAAGAGACCGGUCUGAUCGGGCAAGCUUGCGCCCGAUCGGGCGGGCGCGCAUAUGAGAGCAUCAGCAAGAAGGCGCGCCUGAUCGGGUGAGAGUAAUUUCGAUCGGGCGCGGCGAGCCAGGAAGGGCAAAGGAAGUUCGCCCGAUCGGGCGCGUGUUUUUGGAAGACCUGAUUGUCGAGAUUUUUAGUUUUCAAUUAGGAAUUGUUUUAGGGAUGUUUAAGUACGAUUUUUUUACGUAAUUGGGAUUACCUUCU